UAACUAGGAUUCCCUUAGUAGCGGCGAGCGAAGCGGGAAAAGCCCAGCACUUAGCCCAUUAAUUUUAAUUAAUUAACUGGGGAUGCAGUGUAUGGAGAGUUCAUUAGCUUAUUGCAAUAGAUAGUAGAUUCAAGUCCAUCUUGAAUGGGGCCCCUUAUCCCAUAGAGGGUGCCAGGCCCGUAGAAAUUACUAUCUGCAGUUUGCGAACUUCUCUUGAGAGUCGUGUUGCUUGAUAGUGCAGCAUUAAGUGGGUGGUAAACUCCAUCUAAGGCUAAAUAUAACCACGAGACCGAUAGAGAACAAGUACCGUGAGGGAAAGUUGAAAAGAACUCUGAAUAGAGAGUUAAAAAGUACGUGAAACCGUAUAGGGGUUAAGCCCGUUGAAUCUAAAUAUCCGAUGGAUGAAAUUCAAUACUGUUUUUCUACUAUUUAUAUUUUGUAUUUGUGGUAGUUAAGCAAUAUGCACUUUUCAUCUAGUAGGACACUGCAAUCUGUUAGAUUAAAUAUAGUUGCUUGCAUACUAUAUUUGAACUUAUCAAUGGAAUUCUUUUAGAUUGUUUAUCUGUUAAUAGUACUAAACAUACUAUUCGAUAAAUCUAUUUAGGAAUUUCGAUAAUGUUUGACUGACAGAUUACAAUAAAAAAUCAUACAACAUACAUAUGUAAUUUCCCCUUUUAC
This 678-nucleotide ribosomal RNA is filed under the name Psathyromyia dasymera. RNAcentral describes it as "eukaryotic LSU rRNA". It matches the Rfam family "Eukaryotic large subunit ribosomal RNA", at positions 66 to 625 of the family's 3401-position model. The record is from RNAcentral. Lineage: Eukaryota; Metazoa; Arthropoda; Insecta; Diptera; Psychodidae.